Molecule: transfer RNA, 77 nt
Filed under: Marmota marmota marmota (Alpine marmot)
Lineage: Eukaryota; Metazoa; Chordata; Mammalia; Rodentia; Sciuridae
Also listed under: 1 other name
Rfam family: tRNA
About the family: Transfer RNA (tRNA) molecules are approximately 80 nucleotides in length. Their secondary structure includes four short double-helical elements and three loops (D, anti-codon, and T loops).
Source: Rfam by way of RNAcentral
GGGGGUGUAGUGCAGCUCAGUGGUUGAACACUCGUCUAGCAUGUGUGAGGACUUGGGUUCGAUCCCCAGCACCCCCA